GCACAUGAUAAUUUGAAUGUGAUAAUUUGCAAUAUGCAUUAAWAUCUUUCUUUGCAGGGUGGUGAAGCACACAAGCCAGGAUAUGGAAGYGGAAAAUUCUAUGAGCAUAAAUCUGCUCAUAAGGGACACAAGGGAUCCUAUCAUGAGGGCCAGGGCACUCUUUCCAGAAUCUUUAAACUGGGAGGCUCUGGGUCCCGACCUGGAUCGCGGUCUGGUUCCCCCAUUGCUAGGCGCUGAAGCUCCAAGACGCCAUCCAAGGAUCAUGUACUCUGCUUCAUAAUAUAACUGCCUUAAAAUUAGUAACAGCUGUCACAAUUACCUAGAUAGAUGCAAUCCAUUACUUAAUGCCAGUUAGUUUCUGCAUGCAGUAGAUGACACAAACUUCUAUUGGCAAUCCCUGARCAACAGUUGAAUGAAAGGAACAUAAAAAAGUAGGUUUGCUAGAUGUUUUCCUUAUUUUAUAUGAAGUAACAAGAUCUCUGACUUUACCCAUUCUUCUUCAGGAUGCCCUAACUGUAUGCUGGACUCCUUUAUUUCUCCCCAAGCACCUAAUUUAAGCUCAACUCUUCUGGUUUCGUUUUAGUGAACAUCAGAAUUACAAAUAAAGAGCUAUAAUGUCUUGGAUACUGAGCACUGCUGUUAAUGAAUUUUUGAGACACUGAUGUUAGAAACAAAAAAAACCCCAACAUGUGCAGAAGUUGUGAGGACUGUUUAUCCAAAUUUUCUUUUUUUGUUGUUUUGUUUCGUUUUGUUUUAAUCUUCCUUCUCUCACUCACAGAAUAAUUUAUUUUCAUAACAGGAUUAGGCAGUCAUGGAAAGGUUUAUCAAACAUUGGGAGUUCAAGGCAUGUGAAGUGUGGGAGGGGGCAGAUGUUGAAGAAUCAAUACGAUGUGGAGCAAUAGCAAUAAGGAAAUUCUUUCCAUACCAUGAAUUGCUGAUUGCAUCCAAACCAUUAGAAUAAAGAGUAGAUGAGGGAGAGAAAGAGGAUUUCAAAUUUGAGUUAGACUAAUGUUACAAAACAAGGGAGAUUCCCAGAGAAACAUCUAAGACUGCACACGUGACCACUGGAUGUCACUGGUGCUUCACAUAAACUCUGCUGCAACAGCAUUAACUUCGCAGCACAAUAAGUAAAUAAGCAUAUAAACAAAAAAAGUCUAAUUUCCGAAAGAAAGCCCUUCAGUACUGGUAUCUUAGAUAGUCCUGCACAUCUCACAUUAGAUUUCUUGGUAUUGCAGCAGUGUUAUAUUUGAUUGGCUCAUCUUUUACCUGAGUAACAUCUGGAUGCCUAUUAARGGCAGUACACCAAAGCAAAUUCAUAGUAAACUACUGUGAACAUUUAACUGUUGURUUGUAGUUGCCUCGUAGAAAUAAAUUAUAGCUUAGUUAGAUUUAGAUAGGAAUUGUUCACAAAUUACUAAAAUGAAUGUGUGGAGAUGGUAUUUCCAACCACACUUAGGGAAAUAAAAGGCUCUUCUGAAUUGCACUGUUUUAUUACUUAAACUUACCAUUUCUUCAAACUGUCAUCUAAGUGUCAGAUUAAUUAUUUUAUAUUUYAGUUUUAGCCUAUGCACUGUAGAUUACAGUUAGUGCUUCCUAGGUUGAAACAGCAUUCCUAAUAAGUGCCCAGUAAAAGUUACCUAUAAGUAUAUAUGUUAAUUGCAUUUCACAYCUAAAUCUAUUGUAGGUUUAAAUCAGUGUCCAUUAAUAUGAAACAAUGGAAGAUGAGAUGAUAGAAAAUACAUAGAGACUAAAGAAAACAAAACUGCCAAAAUUAUUAAGCAGACACACAUAUUACAUCUAUUAUCUUCGUUGGUUGCUAUGUGUAUUUUUCUAUUGUAGCUUCAUUCAGAUGUAUACUCUGCAACAUAAUAGUUGAUUUAAUUUGAACACAUAUUGUUCUUAUAGGAACACAGCUUUUAAAAAUAG
Molecule: long non-coding RNA, 1926 nt
Filed under: Zosterops lateralis melanops
Lineage: Eukaryota; Metazoa; Chordata; Aves; Passeriformes; Zosteropidae
Description: lncRNA (ENSZLMG00000014012.1)
Source: RNAcentral